AGAGCUUAGCUGAUUGGUGAACAGUGACUGGUUUCCGCUUUGUUCACAGUGGCUAAGUUCUGC
Molecule: microRNA precursor, 63 nt
Filed under: Pteropus alecto (black flying fox)
Lineage: Eukaryota; Metazoa; Chordata; Mammalia; Chiroptera; Pteropodidae
Also listed under: 3 other names
Description: microRNA pal-mir-27b precursor
Gene: pal-mir-27b
Rfam family: mir-27 microRNA precursor family
Source: miRBase by way of RNAcentral